RNAcentral lists this transfer RNA (80 nucleotides) under Sphaerodactylus townsendi. RNAcentral's name for it is "tRNA-Ala". Lineage: Eukaryota; Metazoa; Chordata; Lepidosauria; Squamata; Sphaerodactylidae. The record is from RNAcentral.
GCCAGGCAUCUGUGGCUCAGUGGUAGGACAUCAGCUUGGCAUGCAGAAGGCCACAGGUUCAAUCCCUGGCACCUCCGGUU